Long non-coding RNA from Sapajus apella (tufted capuchin), 95 nucleotides. RefSeq lists it as uncharacterized. NCBI's taxonomy places the organism in Eukaryota, Metazoa, Chordata, Mammalia, Primates, Cebidae. The transcript has 3 exons. The record is from RefSeq and is a predicted model, not a curated record.
AUCAAAAUUGGCACACAUUGUGAAAUAAUUUCCAAGAUAAUUUAGUUGUAUUUGCUUGGCCAGACACCCAUGAAAUGUUGCAGUUUGUCUCUAGA